RNAcentral lists this ribosomal RNA (613 nucleotides) under Thecaphora amaranthi. Its description in RNAcentral is "LSU rRNA". It matches the Rfam family "Eukaryotic large subunit ribosomal RNA", at positions 75 to 663 of the family's 3401-position model. The record is from RNAcentral. Lineage: Eukaryota; Fungi; Basidiomycota; Ustilaginomycetes; Urocystidales; Glomosporiaceae.
UUCCCUUAGUAACGGCGAGUGAAGAGGGAAUAGCCCAAGUUUGAAAGCUGGCGCCUUCGGCGUCCGCAUUGUAAACUCGAGAAGCAUUAUCCGCGUCGGACCUGGCUCAAAUCCUUUGGAAUAAGGUACCUUAGAGGGUGAUAGUCCCUUUCAUAGUCAGGACGCCCGAGGCUUUGUGAUGUGCUCUCCAAGAGUCGAGUUGUUUGGGAAUGCAGCUCAAAAUGGGUGGUAAAUGCCAUCUAAGGCUAAAUAUAGAGGAGAGACCGAUAGCGAACAAGUACCGUGAGGGAAAGAUGAAAAGAACUUUGGAAAGAGAGUUAAACAGUACGUGAAAUUGCCGGAAGGGAAGGGUAGGAAGUCAGAUAUGCCUCUGCGGAUUCAGCUUGACCUUUCGAGGUUGGGUGUAUUUCCGUUUGGGCAGGCCAGCAUCGAUUUUGGCUGCCGGAUAUUGGUAGAAGGAAUGUGGCAUCCUCUUCGGAGGGUGUGUUAUAGCCUUCUACUGGGUACGGCGGCUGGGAUCGAGGAACGCAGUGCACCCAUUAGGGCGGGCCUUCGGGCACCUUUGCACAUAGGAUGCUGGCUUAAUGGCUCUCUGCCACCCGUCUUGAAACCG